ACUCAAAUGAAUUGACGGGGACCCGCACAAGCAGUGGAUCGCGUGGUUUAAUCCGACGGUAAACGUAUAACCUUACCAAGACUUGACAUAUAGAGAAUCUGGGGGAAACUUCGGAGUGCCGCAAGGAGCUCUAAUACAGAUGCUGCAUGGCUGUCGUCAGCUCGUGUCGUGAGAUGUUGGGUUAAGUCCCGCAACGAGCGCAACCCUCACCCUAUGUUGAUUAUUCUUAGGGAACUGCAUCGCUAAAACGAUGAGGAAGGUGGGGAUGAGGUCUAGUCGUCAUAGCUCUUACGUCUUGGGCUACACACGCGAUACAAUGGUACAUACAAUGGGUUGCCAAACCGCAAGGUGGAGCUAAUCCUCAAAAUGUACCUCAGUUCAGAUUGAAGGCUGCAAUUCGCCUUCAUGAAGUCGGAAUUGCUAGUAAACGCAAAUCAGCAUGUUGCGUUGAAUACGUUCUCGGGUCUUGUACACACCGCCCGU
RNAcentral lists this ribosomal RNA (483 nucleotides) under uncultured bacterium. RNAcentral describes it as "partial 16S ribosomal RNA". It matches the Rfam family "Bacterial small subunit ribosomal RNA", at positions 899 to 1397 of the family's 1533-position model. The record is from RNAcentral.